AUAAUAGUAAUGUUCUUGAAACCCAAAGAAUUUGGCGGUAUUUUAUACUUUUUAGAGGAACCUGUCCUGUAAUUGAUAGUCCACGAUGUUGAAAUACUUACCUUUGUUAUUCAUUUUGUAUACCUCCGUCAUCAGAGCAUCUUUUUAGAGAUAAUGUUCUAGUAGUACAAAAUAAUAUAUGUCAGGUCAAGGUGCAAUUUAUGGGUAAGUAGAGAUGGGUUACAAUAAAUUUAUUUAUACGAAUUGAUAUUUUUAUUAAUGUUAUGAAGGUGGAUUUAAAAGUAAAUUUAUUUUCUUAAUAGUUUGAUAGUAGCUCUAAAAUAUGCACACAUCGCCCGUCGCUCUUAUUUUAAAAUAAGAUAAGUCGUAACAUAGUAGGAGUACCGGAAGGUGUUCCUAGCAUG
RNAcentral lists this ribosomal RNA (404 nucleotides) under Urothemis assignata. Its description in RNAcentral is "partial 12S ribosomal RNA". It matches the Rfam family "Microsporidia small subunit ribosomal RNA", at positions 759 to 1304 of the family's 1311-position model. The record is from RNAcentral. Lineage: Eukaryota; Metazoa; Arthropoda; Insecta; Odonata; Libellulidae.